AUUGAACGCUGGCGGCAUGCCUUACACAUGCAAGUCGAACGGCAGCAUGAUCUAGCUUGCUCGAUUGAUGGCGAGUGGCGAACGGGUGAGUAAUACAUCGGAACGUGCCCUGUAGUGGGGGAUAACUAGUCGAAAGAUUAGCUAAUACCGCAUACGACCUGAGGGUGAAAGUGGGGGACCGCAAGGCCUCAUGCUAUAGGAGCGGCCGAUGUCUGAUUAGCUAGUUGGUGAGGUAAAGGCUCACCAAGGCGACGAUCAGUAGCUGGUCUGAGAGGACGAUCAGCCACACUGGGACUGAGACACGGCCCAGACUCCUACGGGAGGCAGCAGUGGGGAAUUUUGGACAAUGGGCGAAAGCCUGAUCCAGCAAUGCCGCGUGUGUGAAGAAGGCCUUCGGGUUGUAAAGCACUUUUGUCCGGAAAGAAAUGGCUCUGGUUAAUACCUGGGGUCGAUGACGGUACCGGAAGAAUAGGGACCGGCUAACUACGUG
Molecule: ribosomal RNA, 490 nt
Filed under: uncultured bacterium
Lineage: Bacteria
Description: partial 16S ribosomal RNA
Rfam family: Bacterial small subunit ribosomal RNA
Source: RNAcentral